GUCUAAAUAGCUCAGUGGUAGAGCGUCAGGCUGAAAACCUGAAGGCCAUUGGUUCAAAUCCACUUUUAGACA
This 72-nucleotide transfer RNA is filed under the name Linnemannia elongata. Its description in RNAcentral is "tRNA-Phe". It matches the Rfam family "tRNA". Rfam says of the family: Transfer RNA (tRNA) molecules are approximately 80 nucleotides in length. Their secondary structure includes four short double-helical elements and three loops (D, anti-codon, and T loops). The record is from RNAcentral. Lineage: Eukaryota; Fungi; Mortierellomycota; Mortierellomycetes; Mortierellales; Mortierellaceae.